GUACAGUGAAGUGGCUGAUACCAUGCUUCCAGGAAAAGUCUCUAAGCUUCAGUUACACAGGAAUCGUACCCGAAACCGACACAGGUGGUCAGGUCGAGUAGACCAAGGCGCUUGAGAGAACUCUGCUGAAGGAACUAGGCAAAAUGGUACCGUAACUUCGGGAGAAGGUACGCUGUUGUUGGUGAUGGAACUUGCUUCCUGAGCUGACGACAGCCGCAGAAACCAGGCCGCUGCAACUGUUUAUUAAAAACAUAGCACUCUGCAAACACGAAAGUGGACGUAUAGGGUGUGAUGCCUGCCCGGUGCUGGAAGGUUAAUUGAUGGGGUUAGCGUAAGCGAAGCUCUUGAUCGAAGCCCCAGUAAACGGCGGCCGUAACUAUAACGGUCCUAAGGUAGCGAAAUUCCUUGUCGGGUAAGUUCCGACCUGCACGAAUGGCAUAAUGAUGGCGGCGCUGUCUCCAGCAGAGGCUCAGUGAAAUCGAAAUCGCUGUGAAGAUGCAGUGUACCCGCGGCUAGACGGAAAGACCCCGUGAACCUUUACUGCAGCUUGACACUGAACUUUGACCUUACUUGUGUAGGAUAGGUGGGAGGCUUUGAAGUUGGAACGCUAGUUCCAAUGGAGCCGUCCUUGAAAUACCACCCUGGUAAUGUUGAGGUUCUAACUCUGUCCCGUUAUCCGGGACGAGGACCGUGUCUGGUGGGUAGUUUGACUGGGGCGGUCUCCUCCUAAAGAGUAACGGAGGAGUACGAAGGUGCGCUCAGCGUGGUCGGAAAUCACGCGUAGAGUAUAAAGGCAAAAGCGCGCUUAACUGCGAGACCCACAAGUCGAGCAGGUACGAAAGUAGGUCUUAGUGAUCCGGUGGUUCUGUAUGGAAGGGCCAUCGCUCAACGGAUAAAAGGUACUCUGGGGAUAACAGGCUGAUACCGCCCAAGAGUUCAUAUCGACGGCGGUGUUUGGCACCUCGAUGUCGGCUCAUCUCAUCCUGGGGCUGAAGCAGGUCCCAAGGGUAUGGCUGUUCGCCAUUUAAAGAGGUACGCGAGCUGGGUUUAGAACGUCGUGAGACAGUUCGGUCCCUAUCUACCGUGGGCGCUGGAAAUUUGAGAGGAUCUGCUCCUAGUACGAGAGGACCAGAGUGGACGAACCUCUGGUGUACCGGUUGUGACGCCAGUCGCAUCGCCGGGUAGCUAUGUUCGGAAGGGAUAACCGCUGAAAGCAUCUAAGCGGGAAGCCUACCUCAAGAUAAGAUUUCCCUAGGAAUUUAUUCCUCUAAAGAGCCGUUCGAGACUAGGACGUUGAUAGGUUGGAUGUGGAAGCAUAGUGAUAUGUGAAGCUGACCAAUACUAAUUGCUCGUGAGGCUUGACUAUACAACACCCAAGCAGUUG
This 1384-nucleotide ribosomal RNA is filed under the name Acinetobacter pittii. Its description in RNAcentral is "partial 23S ribosomal RNA". It matches the Rfam family "Bacterial large subunit ribosomal RNA", at positions 1580 to 2925 of the family's 2925-position model. The record is from RNAcentral. Lineage: Bacteria; Pseudomonadati; Pseudomonadota; Gammaproteobacteria; Moraxellales; Moraxellaceae.